CUUGUUUGACGUUAGCUGCAGAAGAAGCACCGGCUAACUCCGUGCCAGCAGCCGCGGUAAUACGGAGGGUGCGAGCGUUAAUCGGAAUUACUGGGCGUAAAGCGCAUGCAGGCGGCCUGUUAAGUCAGAUGUGAAAGCCCGGGGCGUUAACCUCGGAAUUGCAUUUGAAACUGGCAGGCUAGAGUCUUGUAGAGGGGGGUAGGAAUUUCAGGUGUAGCGGUGAAAUGCGUAGAGAUCUGAAGGAAUACCAGUGGCGAAGGCGGCCCCCUCGGACAAAGACUGACGCUCAGAUGCGAAAGCGUGGGGAGCAAACAGGAUUAGAUACCCUGGUAG
Molecule: ribosomal RNA, 333 nt
Filed under: uncultured bacterium
Lineage: Bacteria
Description: bacterial SSU rRNA
Rfam family: Bacterial small subunit ribosomal RNA
Source: RNAcentral